AAUAUUGGACAAUGGGCGAAAGCCUGAUCCAGCCAUGCCGCGUGUGUGAAGAAGGUCUUCGGAUUGUAAAGCACUUUAAGUUGGGAGGAAGGGCAGUAAGUUAAUACCUUGCUGUUUUUAAGUUACCGACAGAAUAAGCACCGGCUAACUUCGUGCCAGACGCCGCGGUAAUACCAAGGGUGAAAGCGUUAAUCGGAAUGACUGUGCGUAAAGCGCGCGUAGGUGGUUUGUUAAGUUGGAAGUGAAAUCCCCGGGCUUAACCUGGGAACUGCUUUCAUAACUGCUGAGCUAGAGUACGGUAGAGGGUAGUGGAAUUUCCUGUGUAGCGGUGAAAUGCGUAGAUAUAGGAAGGAACACCAGUGGCGAAGACGACUACCUGGACUGAUACUGACACUGAGAUGCGAAAGCGUGGGGAGCAAAC
This 421-nucleotide ribosomal RNA is filed under the name uncultured bacterium. RNAcentral describes it as "partial 16S ribosomal RNA". It matches the Rfam family "Bacterial small subunit ribosomal RNA", at positions 360 to 773 of the family's 1533-position model. The record is from RNAcentral.